GUCGAACGAUGAAGCCGGAGCUUGCUCUGGUGGAUUAGUGGCGAACGGGUGAGUAACACGUGAGUAACCUGCCCUUGACUCUGGAAUAAGCGUUGGAAACGACGUCUAAUACUGGAUACGAGCUUCAGCCGCAUGGCUAGGAGCUGGAAAGAAUUUCGGUCAAGGAUGGACUCGCGGCCUAUCAGGUAGUUGGUGAGGUAAUGGCUCACCAAGCCUACGACGGGUAGCCGGCCUGAGAGGGUGACCGGCCACACUGGAACUGAGACACGGUCCAGACUCCUACGGGAGGCAGCAGUGGGGAAUAUUGCACAAUGGGCGCAAGCCUGAUGCAGCAACGCCGCGUGAGGGACGACGGCCUUCGGGUUGUAAACCUCUUUUAGUAGGGAAGAAGCGAAAGUGACGGUACCUGCAGAAAAAGCACCGGCUAACUACGUGCCAGCAGCCGCGGUAAUACGUAGGGUGCAAGCGUUAUCCGGAAUUAUUGGGCGUAAAGAGCUCGUAGGCGGUUUGUCGCGUCUGCUGUGAAAACUGGGGGCUCAACCCCCAGCCUGCAGUGGGUACGGGCAGACUAGAGUGCGGUAGGGGAGAUUGGAAUUCCUGGUGUAGCGGUGGAAUGCGCAGAUAUCAGGAGGAACACCAAUGGCGAAGGCAGAUCUCUGGGCCGUUACUGACGCUGAGGAGCGAAAGCAU
Molecule: ribosomal RNA, 690 nt
Filed under: Salinibacterium sp.
Lineage: Bacteria; Bacillati; Actinomycetota; Actinomycetes; Micrococcales; Microbacteriaceae
Description: bacterial SSU rRNA
Rfam family: Bacterial small subunit ribosomal RNA
Source: RNAcentral